CCUACGGGAGGCAGCAGUGGGGGAUAUUGCACAAUGGAGGAAACUCUGAUGCAGCGACGCCGCGUGAGGGAAGACGGUCUUCGGAUUGUAAACCUCUGUCUUUGGGGAAGAAAAUGACGGUACCCAAAGAGGAAGCUCCGGCUAACUACGUGCCAGCAGCCGCGGUAAUACGUAGGGAGCGAGCGUUGUCCGGAAUUACUGGGUGUAAAGGGCGUGUAGCCGGGUUGACAAGUCAGAUGUGAAAUCCUGCGGCUUAACCGCAGAACUGCAUUUGAAACUGUUGAUCUUGAGUACUGGAGAGGCAGACGGAAUUCCUAGUGUAGCGGUGAAAUGCGUAGAUAUUAGGAGGAACACCAGUGGCGAAGGCGGUCUGCUGGACAGCAACUGACGGUGAGGCGCGAAAGCGUGGGGAGCAAACAGGAUUAGAUACCCUUGUAGUC
This 440-nucleotide ribosomal RNA is filed under the name uncultured bacterium. Its description in RNAcentral is "partial 16S ribosomal RNA". It matches the Rfam family "Bacterial small subunit ribosomal RNA", at positions 338 to 795 of the family's 1533-position model. The record is from RNAcentral.